Molecule: ribosomal RNA, 320 nt
Filed under: uncultured eukaryote
Lineage: Eukaryota
Description: partial 18S ribosomal RNA
Rfam family: Eukaryotic small subunit ribosomal RNA
Source: RNAcentral
CCCCUAGAUGUUCUGGGCCGCACGCACGCUACACUGAACAGUUCAACAAGUCUUAACCUUGGCCGAUAGGUCUGGGUAAUCUUUGAACGCUGUUCGUGAUUGGGAUAGACCUUUGCAAUUAUGGGUCUUCAACGAGGAAUUCCUAGUAAACGCAAGUCAUCAGCUUGCAUUGAUUACGUCCCUGCCCUUUGUACACACCGCCCGUCGCACCUACCGAUUGAAUGGUCCGGUGAAAUCUCGGGACGGCGGCUUGGUCGCUUGCGUCCGACUGCUGAAACUUGAUUAAACCAUAUCAUUUAGAGGAAGGUGAANUCGUANCA